Molecule: small nuclear RNA, 130 nt
Filed under: Neogale vison (American mink)
Lineage: Eukaryota; Metazoa; Chordata; Mammalia; Carnivora; Mustelidae
Description: Neovison vison (American mink) U4 spliceosomal RNA (ENSNVIG00000004604.1)
Rfam family: U4 spliceosomal RNA (bases 1-66)
About the family: U4 small nuclear RNA (U4 snRNA) is a component of the major U2-dependent spliceosome.
Source: RNAcentral
AGCUUUGCGCAGUGGCAGUAUCGUAGCCAAUGAGGUUUAUCCGAGGCGCGAUUAUUGCUAAUUGAUGAAGCGUGAAAUAAGACCAGAUGUUUAGAACUGCAUUGGUCUGUUGAGGCUGCUGUAACAAAAG